This 634-nucleotide long non-coding RNA is filed under the name Fragaria vesca (wild strawberry). RNAcentral describes it as "long non-coding RNA (FVES_LNC001868)". Lineage: Eukaryota; Viridiplantae; Streptophyta; Magnoliopsida; Rosales; Rosaceae. The record is from RNAcentral.
AUGUUAUUCAGUUGUAAAUCCAACUGGAACUUGGUUUAGGGAUGCAAAUAAGAAAAAAAAGAAUUGUAUAUAUAAAGAUCUCCUGCGAGUCACCUGAGUUUGGCACCACUACACUCAAUACAUUGCUGAAAGUGGUUUGUUACAAGUAACUAAUGAAGAACUGACCAUUCUAUUAGCUCAUGACCUUGACUAUAGAAUCUGCUAUAUGUAGUGAAACGAAAGGAUGACGAAUAUGUAAGAACCAUUGUUCUUCCUUCUUUCCUUUUUUUUUUCUUUUAUCACUUGAAACUAUGAAAAGCAGUUUCGUUACUUGUCAUGUCAAAGCCAUUCUAUAAUAUAAUCAUGUAUGAUCGAAGUAAUUAAUAGAAUAACAGACAGCAACCAAAGAGCACCUUACACACAUCAAAGAUUCAUAACAAUAUAUUUCUUAUUACCUGAUCACAAUUAUCGAAGCUCUAGUACCACUUCAAUGUCAAAAUACUUUUACGUAGAAUCCUAGGAUUGGAUGAGACCGAGUUAACAAUCACCCUCGAUCCAAGUACAACUCCAACUCGGGUUCAUCGGCACCCUCCUCAUCAUCAUUAUAAUCAUCUUCGUCAUCGUCUGCCUUCGGAGGAUCAUAUAUAUAAUCAUC